This 449-nucleotide ribosomal RNA is filed under the name uncultured bacterium. Its description in RNAcentral is "bacterial SSU rRNA". It matches the Rfam family "Bacterial small subunit ribosomal RNA", at positions 28 to 475 of the family's 1533-position model. The record is from RNAcentral.
GAUGAACGCUGGCGGCGUGCUUAACACAUGCAAGUCGAACGAAGCACUUUAUUUGAUUUCUUCGGAAUGAAGAUUUUGUGACUGAGUGGCGGACGGGUGAGUAACGCGUGGGUAACCUGCCUCAUACAGGGGGAUAACAGUUGGAAACGACUGCUAAUACCGCAUAAGCGCACAGGGUCGCAUGACCUGGUGUGAAAAACUCCGGUGGUAUGAGAUGGACCCGCGUCUGAUUAGCCAGUUGGUGGGGUAACGGCCUACCAAAGCGACGAUCAGUAGCCGACCUGAGAGGGUGACCGGCCACAUUGGGACUGAGACACGGCCCAAACUCCUACGGGAGGCAGCAGUGGGGAAUAUUGCACAAUGGGGGAAACCCUGAUGCAGCGACGCCGCGUGAGCGAAGAAGUAUUUCGGUAUGUAAAGCUCUAUCAGCAGGGAAGAAGAAAUGACGG